ACGGAAGGUCCAGGCGUUAUCCGGAUUUAUUGGGUUUAAAGGGAGCGUAGGCCGCAAGUCAAGCGUGUUGUGAAAUGCAGGGGCUCAACCUCUGGAUUGCAGCGGGAACUGGCAUGCUUGAGUACGCACGAGGUAGGCGGAAUUUGUGGUGUAGCGGUGAAAUGCUUAGAUAUCACGAAGAACUCCGAUUGUGGAGGCAGCUUACCGGAGCGCAACUGACGCUGAGGCUCGAAAGUGUGGGGAUCAAACAG
RNAcentral lists this ribosomal RNA (251 nucleotides) under uncultured prokaryote. RNAcentral describes it as "partial 16S rRNA". It matches the Rfam family "Bacterial small subunit ribosomal RNA", at positions 525 to 775 of the family's 1533-position model. The record is from RNAcentral.